This 380-nucleotide unclassified non-coding RNA is filed under the name uncultured bacterium. RNAcentral's name for it is "contains 16S-23S intergenic spacer region". The record is from RNAcentral.
UCCGAGUUGUCCCCGGCAGUCUCUUUAGAGUCCCCGGCAUGACCCGCUGGCAACUAAGGACAGGGGUUGCGCUCGUUGCGCCACUUAAGGCAACACCUCACGACACGAGCUGACGACAGCCAUGCAGCACCUGUGCACGGACUCCGAAGAGGGGCCGAUGUUUCCACCGGCUUUCCCGUGCAUGUCAAGCCCAGGUAAGGUUCUUCGCGUUGCUUCGAAUUAAACCACAUGCUCCGCUGCUUGUGCGGGUCCCCGUCAAUUCCUUUGAGUUUUAGCCUUGCGGCCGUACUCCCCAGGCGGGGCACUUAGUGCGUUAGCGACGGCACGGGAGGAGUCGACACCUCCCACACCUAGUGCCCAUCGUUUACAGCGUGGACUAC